RNAcentral lists this ribosomal RNA (250 nucleotides) under uncultured bacterium. RNAcentral's name for it is "partial 16S ribosomal RNA". It matches the Rfam family "Bacterial small subunit ribosomal RNA", at positions 524 to 772 of the family's 1533-position model. The record is from RNAcentral.
UACGUACCACACGAACGUUAUUCGGAAUCACUGGGCUUAAAGGGUGCGCAGGCUGUGCAGAAAGUCGGGUGUGAAAUCCCUCGGCUCAACCGAGGAACUGCGCCCGAAACUACUGUGCUCGAGGGAGAUAGAGGUGAGCGGAACUUAGGGUGGAGCGGUGAAAUGCGUUGAUAUCCUAACGGAACACCGGUGGCGAAAGCGGCUCACUGGAUCUCUUCUGACGCUCAUGCACGAAAGCCAGGGGAGCGAA